GCUUUCGUGGUGUAGUGCUCAGUGCGCUGGACGUAUAUUCCAGAGGUCCGUGGUUCGAUUCCCGGCGAAGGCG
This 73-nucleotide transfer RNA is filed under the name Stegodyphus mimosarum. It matches the Rfam family "tRNA". Rfam says of the family: Transfer RNA (tRNA) molecules are approximately 80 nucleotides in length. Their secondary structure includes four short double-helical elements and three loops (D, anti-codon, and T loops). The record is from Rfam by way of RNAcentral. Lineage: Eukaryota; Metazoa; Arthropoda; Arachnida; Araneae; Eresidae.